Long non-coding RNA from Rhododendron vialii, 220 nucleotides. RefSeq lists it as uncharacterized. The record is from RefSeq and is a predicted model, not a curated record. The transcript has 2 exons. NCBI's taxonomy places the organism in Eukaryota, Viridiplantae, Streptophyta, Magnoliopsida, Ericales, Ericaceae.
CCGGGUUAAAACACACGGAUCUCCUUUCCCUUACUUCUCUCUUUCCUGACAGACGAGUAGAGAGAGAAAGCGGAGAGACGAUAUUCAAACGACGAAGAAGAAAUCGGAGAAGAUCCAACGACGAAGAAGAAAUCGAACAAGGGCUCGAUUAAAGAAGAUUAAGGCUCGAUUAGGUUUCGAUUACAGCUUGAUUUUAGAAACCCUACACGAUUUGAACGAG